Small nucleolar RNA from Grammomys surdaster, 143 nucleotides. RefSeq annotates it as small nucleolar RNA SNORA48. The transcript has a single exon. Lineage: Eukaryota; Metazoa; Chordata; Mammalia; Rodentia; Muridae. The record is from RefSeq and is a predicted model, not a curated record.
UGACCCUGGCAAUGGGCAAACAGGCACCUUGUUGCAGUAUUGUUCUUUGAUCAGUCAGGGACAGAGCAGCUAGCAGUCCUUUGUUUAUCCUAGCUUGAUAUCUAGCUUGGUGGUCAAAGCUGUUUUAUGCCGAGGAUGCUGUU